CUGUCUGGGUUGUCCUGGCCAACAAACCUGAACCCCCGGCCGGGAUCAUCGGCCGCGGUGUAAUAGAAAUUGAGGGGCAUGGAUACAAUCUCAAUUCCAUUGAUAAAAGCAUAUGAAUCGUUGUAAUCCGGACUUGGAGUGAAGGUUAUGUUCAAUAGCCUCUGAUCGUCUUCGAUGUUAAUGCAGAAUUCUUUGAAAAAGGGAUGGCCGUUGCCAUCUGCUGUCAGUGAAGCGCUAAAGUUUCUUAACAGAGUGAAAGAAGCUGCUUUAACAGAGAAGAAAGCUGCAGAGGGGUUGAACCUUGGUUUUGAAGUUGGAUUGAAAUGCAGGCGGAUGAACUUUUGACCGGCGGUGACGUUGAAUAUGUAGGUGAAUUGCGAAUGAGAAACGCGUGAUGUUGAAUAUGGGACUUGCUUAUUUUCAGUGACGGUUGUUGAUUUGGGAGCGGAUGCGUCUUCAUGUGGGGAGUAUUGAGAGUUAACAUCUCCAACCCAAGUCCGACCGGGAGUACUCGUGUUGCCCAACCAGCCACAAGCAAGAAAUAUGUUGCUUUCUACUAGAGAGUAAUUAGAGUCACCGGUGACGACAACAGCUAGAUGAUGGCAGGAGAAGAAGAAAAAGAAGAAGAAGAAGAAGUGGAAGAUUUUUCUGUAUGUCUCCAUUAAUUUUUUGACAAUUAAUUAAUAGGCAGGCUGCAGCUAUAGCUUUGAUUCUUCAGAUAGCUAGACAUUUAAAGUUAGCAAAUUUUGCAGCAAUAUGUCCGUCUCUGUCAGUUGGAGGCCAGAGGCGCCUUGGCGUUUCGGACAUGACAAUCAAAAUGAUGGAACUUCUUAGUCUUCGUCAACUUCUUAGUCUUUGCCCUUUGGCAUCAGUCCAUUCUACUAUCUCCCGUAAGGCACUUUCCAUGGCCACUAUUACUAGACUUGUUUUGAAAUAUCAACUUAUAUAAAACCAUACUAUGAAACUUCGUAGUAACCACAAAUCAAUCAGUUGGAUUCCAUAAUUAAAUAUACACUUAACAAAUCUAGAUUGGACUUGAAUGUUAAAUUAGUGUUCGGUCACUAAAUUAAAAAAAUAUUCGCCCAUAAUUGGUUAUUUUAGAAAUACAUGUUUAGUAGUUUGUUGAAAGGUUGAACUAAUUAUAUUAAUGGUGUGUUUACUAAUUAGUUAUUGGAAUAAGCUGGAAUCAGAAUGAGCUGGAAUCGAAAUGUGCUGUAAUCAUAAUCAGGAAUGUGAAUUAAAAUAAAUUAUUUACUUGAGUUGCAGGAAUUGGAAUCGAAAUGGAAAUGAGAUUUAUUUCCAUUGAUGUGUUUAUUUUAUCUUGAAAUUGGAAUGGACUAUCAUAAUUUAUAAAAAUGCCCUUUGUUAAUUAUUGUCAAAUGAUGAUGAUGAUGAUGAUGAUGAUAAUAAUAAUAAUAAUAAUGAAAUAAAGAAAAAUUAUAGUAGUAGUAGUAACUUAUCAUUAUAAUAAUAAUAAUUAUUAUUAUUAUUAUAAAUUACAUUAUAAUAAUAUUUUAGUAAAUAAUAAUAAUAAUAAUAAUAAUAAUAAUAAUAAUAUUAUUAUUAUUAUAAGCUUUAAGUUGUAAAAAUAGCCUAUCCAGUUUCUAUUGUUUCUAUUCUAUUGUAAGAAAAUAUCUUGGGCAUUACACUUUUCUAUUUUUUUUGGCUUAUUUCAUUGAUAAAUUUAAUUUAAAUGGAGAUAAACUUGAAAAUUCUAAUUAACUAUAGAAUAGAUAAGCCUGAUUUACAACUCACAUGUUCUCCCCUCUUAUUCCGCUCUUCAUUAAUUUUUGUAUGUUUUUGUGACUUUAUUUAUAUAUAGUCGAGAAUCCAAAUAGUAUGAUUAAAAUAAAAAAUCGAUUAGAAGACAGGUUAGUUUCCAAUUAGUUCAGAACAAGGGAAAAAAAAAAAAAAAAAACUUACCGAUCACUAUUUUACAGGUGAGUUCAUGAGGAAAAUAAUUAGGAGUUGCUUUCUAUUGACCACGGGACUUGCACGCCUGCUUGACUUGUACAAUUACUGUUGUUGAAUUUGUACGACCAUCGUUAGCAUGUUAGAAUUAGAUUGGAUUAUAUUUGCUUGUGUCUUUUAUUUUGUGUAGUAUAAGAUUAAAUUGGAUUAUAAAAGUAAUAUGUUAUUGGAUAUUAAAAUCACAUAUAUAUUUAUUUAGAAGUGGGGCUACUUACAUUUAAAAAAUUACCCUGAACACAUUAAUUUUAAUAAAAGUAUGUAUUUAAAAAAUAAAUUAAAUGCCUUUAGAUAAAGAACAUAUAUUGAUUCAUUCACCUGUUCCCUCCCACCCGCCUUAAUUGUGAGACUAGAACCAUGUACUUUAAUGUUCACAUCGGUGUUGCCCAUAUGCCAAACAUAUCAUCAAGCUAACUUAGGUAAUUAUUACUCGAAAUCACUAAUUAAAUGAGGAUGGAAACCUUAUCAAUUUACGUUAAUCUUUGUCCCUUAUUAUUAUUUAAACUCAGGUAUCAAUAAUGUAAAGUUCAUAUUUAAUUAUGACCAAUUCAGCUAUGCCUAAGCAAUGUCUCUCAGUAACGUAAUGUCUACUGUCAUAGAUUAAACUCAAACCGUCUCAUAACUAGGAUAAGGAUCCUCUCUCUCUCUCUCUCUUUGAUGCAAAAGCUUAACGUAAAUGGACAAAAGCUUCUCAGUGGAUCAGAUUAUGAUGCAAAUAUCUUUUGAUGACGGCUUUAAUAUGAUUAUUCUAAUUUAGAAAAUGUCAAGUCUGAAUACAUUUGGAAGCAUGUGUGAAAGAACUUAAAUCGAAAUUUAUGAGUAUGAAUUUUAUGAGGCUUACUACUAUAGGAUCAAUAUUUCAUUUUCCUGACCCUUUUUAUAUUUUUCCUAUGAAGGAGGCUGAUGAGUGUGGUUGCUAGGCAGAAUUUAAUGCCUUUGCUCUUGCUAUGCAGUGUUCAUUUAGUAAUUUCUCAUUUAAGGUAAAUCCUACCACUCCUAGAUUCUUCUAAUGCGGUUAGCGAACUCUUGAAUAUUAGUUGAAAAUGAAUUAAUUACUUGCAUUUUUACAUAGCUUCAUAAAAACUAGCUUAAUAAAAAUUUAUUUGGAAAUUAUUUGCCAAGAACCUAAUAUUUCUUUUAUAGCUGUUGUUAUUUAAUCCUAUUAUAACUUUCGAAAAAGUAUACUUGGAAAUUUUUUCAGGCCUAAAUUAAAUUCUUCAAGUUUAAAUUGAAUAAAUUUGGCUUUUGGUUAAAUCUCUGAACCAAAUUGAACAAAUUUUAUAAUUUUACUAAUAACAUUAAGUCUAUUUCAAUUCAAAAGAGUGUAAAACUAAAAGAAAACUCGAGAACAUGCAACAGUUUAUAUGAAAGAUACAACAACUGGGAUCAAACAUAAAACAUAGAUGUCAAACAUGAAAUGGGCGAGAAAAUCCUCAAGUUUUGGCUUUAUUUAAGACAUGCAACAGUUUAAGUGAAACAUGCAACAAUAAAGGUCAAACAUGCCACAUAAAAUCUACCUAUAAGAAAGUCAUAUAAAAGUGCAACAGCUGAGGUCAAACUAAUGCUAAACAUGAGAACCAUGUAAACAUACAACAGUUCAUGUCAAACAUGCAAUAACUAAGGUUGAACAUGUAAUAUGAAUGUCAAACAUGAAAUAAACGGGAAAAUCCUCAAUUUUUGGCUUUAUUUAAGACGUACAAUAAUUUAAGUGAAAUAUACAACAAUUGAGGUCAAACAUACAACAUGAAAUCUACAUGUAAAAAAGUCAUAUGAAACAUGCAACAAUUGAGGUUAAAUAGGAAAACCAUGUAAACAUUCAACGAGUCACAUUAAACAUGCAACAAUUAAAGUCAAGCAAGCAAUACAAAUGUUAAACAUGAAAUAGGCGGGAAAAUUUUCGGUUUUUGGCUUUAUUCGAGACAUGCAACAAUUCUAAUAAAACAUACAACAACUAAAGUCAAACAUCAACAUCAAAUCUACAUGGAAAAAAGUCACAUGAAACAUGCACAACUGAGGUCAAACUUGCAACAACUCAGGUUAAACAUGAGUACGAUUUAAAUGAAACACAUGAUAUAUGUGACAGAUGGUCCAGCAUGUGACAUGGAUGUCAAACAUGAAAUGGAUGGGAAAAAUAUUUUGGGGGUUUUUUUUUUUGAAUUCUGUUAUACACAUUUUAUUAUUGAUAUUUCAUCAGACAUUACAAAUUACAAUAUUUACAAUCGUACUAAGCAACUGGGACCACUGCCAUACAUUAACCCACUGAAGUAUUUGCCCAAAUACUUUAAACCCUCUCUAAUAUUCGAGAAGUGUCUACUCCACUCACAUUUCGUAAAGAAGAGACAAUCUCCACUCACAUUUCGUAAAGGAGAGACAAUCUUCACUCAAUUAGUUGAUAAUUUUGGGGUAUUUAGAAUAAUAAAGAUGAGACAAAUAACAAUAUAUAUUUAAAUUUUAACAUUCACUAUGAGACAUCACAUUUAAAAUAUGGAACAAAUAUUUAUCUUGUAUUAUUUAUAAUUAUUUAUUUUUUUUAUUGAUUAUGAUAAGAUGCAACCGAUCAUGAAACUGAUUGCACCAAGUUUUUGGUUGCCAUUACAAUUAGCUCUCUUUUUUAAAGCUUGGCACUAUACCAAUUUGGCAUUGUAGCCAUGCCAAACCCAUGUGAAGAGGAUUGAGGGACAAAUUGAGAAUUAAUGCUUCUUUGGAUCUAAAUUGUAGCUAAACAUACUUGUUUACUGGCCAUUUGUCUCUCUAAAAAUUUUAAGCUAUGAAUUAAUUGCACAUCAAUAAACACAUUAUCUUUAAAGUUUGCAUAGUUUGGGUUUGGCUUUUUAAUGCCCCUGAGCUUUCCAUCAUAAAUAUGGGAUUUGAUUAAGAUAUUAAAAUUGCAACGAUCGAGAGAUUUUCAUUUUGUUUUCAAAGUUUACUUCCAUUUCUCAAGUGUCGAUGGUGAAUCAACAGUACAGGUGCAAAAUCACAGUGUUUUGCCUAUUGAAGUUUUGCAUUUUAAUCGUUUAAGUCCAAAACAAGUUUGGUUUUAUACUUUUGUUGUAGAUAGGUUCUCACAUGUGACACACAUGUGAGUCACUUAUCCUGACCAUAAAAAACUUUUGUCAAGUUUGUUAGGAAGAGUGAGAAAUACAUCAGAGGUAAUACAAAUAAUUAAUACUUAUAUAAAAUGUGUAAUUAAAUUUAAUAUGACCACCACUUGUAUCAUAGUUUUUUUUUUUUUUUUUUUUAUAUACAAUGGGGCUCUAAAAAAGAGCUAAGAAAGGACUAAAUAGGGAAAACCACCCUAUACACAUCAUGAAAACAUAAAGGAAGAGAGCCGACCAAAUUUGCCACAAAGUUAGCCGAAAAGUUAGCCGAAAAGUUUGCUUCUCGAUAAAUAUGGAUGAUGGUAAUAUUCCAAUUCUGCUUGAACUCUUAGAUGGAUCGAAUGAGAGGAGAAAAUUUGUUCACCAAAUCUAAACACUUAGUAAUCAUUUGAGUCAUGUAUUAACGAUCUACUUCAACUUGCAGCCAAAGAAUUUUGGAUUGCCAAACAAUGUCCAAGCCUUGAUAGAGACCCAGACUAUCCAUUCCUCUUAGUUGCAACAUCCGUAUUAAGUUUACACCUAGGCAAAAUGGGAGGAGUCCAGCCAAUCCAUCUCUCAGUCUUCAUAAACCCCUGUUAGAGGCGAAUUGUUAAUCUGUUGAAUUUCCUCAACCCUCAUAGUGACAUUAGUAACCAAAGCUCCACUAUUUCAAGUCACACGACAAAAAAAAAUUGGUUCGCUAAAACCAGAGUCUCCAAAUUGCUACAUUAAAGAAACACCUUUACUAUAAAACUUAUCAAUCAACCAAAAACUCUUCAAGUUUUGAUUCAUCUAAUCCCGAAGAUCAAGGUUAUAACAUUCAUGGCGAUGCGACACAUGAAUGAUUCGAUAUGGGCCUUGCCAGCUCCAAGCAAGGUUCCAAAUCUAAUCUUCUAUAUGAUUUCCAUAAGGGUUGUUAGCAUGUCAUGCAGAUUUGAUUGUAAAAGUGCCUUUAUCAGAAAAAGCCCAAAAGACUUAAUCGUUACCUCUUUGAUCCAAAGAGGAGGGAAAGCAUUUAUUCUGAGGAUGAUGUGAUUAGGGAGAAGAUGUUUGAAUUGGUCUCAUCACCAGUUCCCAUUACAAUAAGUAAAGUUAGUAGUAACAUUAUUAAGGAUAUUGUCAGGAACAAUACCAAUUGCAUGAAAGAACAAUGGUUUAUCUUUUGUAACCCAACGAUCCCACCAAAACUAAUCCCUUCUACCACCUCCUAUAUUCUAGGAAACGCCUAACCAUAUAUCCUUCCCAGCAUUCCCUAUAUCUUUUCACAAGUGAAACCCAUUUCAUGUACGUAAACUUGAAGGAAAAUUAUAGGAAUCCACGCCAUAUUUAAUUAUCAAUACUUGGGCACACAGGCUCGAAAGAGAAGAAAUAAUGCCCUAUCCCAUCUUUAUCAACUGAGCUCGGUUCAUCAUACCAGGAUUUUAAAGCCCAAACCACUACACACUUUUACCUGGCAAAUUUUAUCCCAAUUAACCAGGGUCAUUUUUGUUGAUCUGUUACAUCGCUUCAAAUGAACUUUUUACAAGCAUGCUUAACUUUUGACUUAAGUUUUGAAAGGAGAAUUUUCGUUUGCAUGGCAUAAAUGGAGAUUGCUUGAAGGAAUGACUGAGAAGUGUAGUUCUUCCAACCAGGGAAAGAUAAGAGGUCGUCCAACUAGACAAACUUUUUUCUACCUUGUCGAUGAUCUCAUAAUAAGUAAGCUUAGAGAGAGAAGGAGGGGCAUACCAAGGUAUUUACCACGAUUAUUAGUGAUAGAGUAACUAAGAACUCUUCUAAUAUUAUUAUCCUCCUUAGCAUUAAUAUUCUUUUAUAAGAAUACUUUGGUCUUGGUUCUAUUAAGCUUGGCCUUGGAACUUCUACAGAAAGUAUCAAGGGCCGAAUUGAUUACUCUCGCCUACUCACAGGAUGCCUUAGGUAGAAGCAAAAGAUUAUUAGUAAAAAGAGAUUAGUGAGGGGGGUUCCAUUACAAGUCAAGCAAAUAAGUUUCUAUUCCCCCGUGUCCACUGUAUUGCAAAUACCGUGACCUAGCCUCUCAAUACAUCAAACAAAAAUGUACGGCAAGAGGCGUCCCCCUAAUGAAUUCCCUGAUAAGGAAAAAAUUCAUUCGUCAACUCUCCAUUUCAAAGCACGACCAUUUUCAAAGCUGUGAUGCAUUCCAUAAUAAUUUGUGCAAGAUCCACUAGAUGAUUGUUUUUCUCCGCAUUGCAUGAACGAAACUUCAACUAAGACGGUCAUAGACUUUCUUCAAGUCAACUUUAACCUGCCAUGUUCCCCGUCUACUAGUUUCCUCUGUAUAGAAUGAAUAAUCUCCGGAGCUACAAUAAUAUUUUCAAUAAUAUGUCAGUCUGGUACUAAACUAGUUUGAUGGGGGCCAAUGAGCUGAGGAAUAAUGGUUUUCAACUGACUUGCCACAAUCUUAGUCACAGUUUUGUAAGCCAUAGUACACAUGCUUAUGGGACGAUACAUCCUAAGAUUAAUAGGAUUAUCAUUCUUGGAAUCAGAAUUAGCAAAGUUGAGUUAAUCAACAAUACUCCACUGAAAUUGGUAAAAAAUGGCAUGAAGGCCAUCAACUUCUGGAGCUUUUAACGGCUUCAUGCUGAAAAUAGAAUUCUUGAUUUUGGUAUCAUCAACAAGCCCUUGAAGAGUGUGAAACACAAUCUCAUCAAUAAUCGGAAAACAUCCCAUAAGAAGGUAAGUGUCUUUACUAUCUUCACAAGUAUAUAAAGAUAAAAAGAAAUGAACAACGUGUUGUUUAAUUGCCGCGUUAUCAAAUAACCACUAUGCAGAUUCAUUUGUAUUAUUGCAAUACAAUUUCUUUGUCUUCUAGCAAUAGUUUUUUGGUAGGACUUAGUAGUGUUUCAGUGCCCGUGUAAUAGCCAAGCCUUAAGCCAAAAAUUUAUUCUUGAGACAAAACUUCUUCAAGCUCUUUUUUCAAUUAAAUCUUAAGAUGAAUAAGGCUCUCAGAAUAGUUAUCUUUGAGCACUUUUUAGAUAACCCCCCAACAAGCCAAAAUCUGACGCUUUCUUAUAAAAAUGUUUCCAAAUGGUCCUUAUUCUAGAUUGAGACUUUACCAAUGAAAUAACGAGCCCUUUGAAUAUAGAAAGCACCAGAGUUCCAUGUAUCAGCAACGAGAUCAGUGAACCUAUUGUUGGUAAGCCACGUUGCAAGAAAACAAAAGGGCCUCUUACCUUACUUAUUCCUCUCCUUCCUAUUGAAAUGAACUAACACAGGUUUGUGAUCAAAAGUGACUUUCGAGAGGUGCAACACUGUAUUAUUAGCAAAAUUAUCGAACCAUUCCUCAUUAGACAUCGCCCUGUCUAGGCAUUUAAAAAGAAACUUCGAGACUAGGUAAACCUUGGUCUGUUAAAAGGAAAAUCAUAUAUCUUUUUAGAAUGAAACUAGUUGUAAAACAAACCAAAAAAUAUACUAGUAUUUACAAAACCACUUUUCUUCUCUUAAGCAUACAAGAUAGAAUUAAAAUCACCACCCAUUAGCAAAGGGCCUUGAACCGCGUUAGCAAAAUUAUCCAAAUGUUCCCAGAGGUGCUUCCUAGAGAUGGCCAAUGGAUUGAACGGCACGGGCAUGGCACGUGUUCGCACAGCACAGCACGGCACGACACUAGCACAUUUUGAUGGGGCAUGCAGCAUGGUACAGCACACAUGUGGGCUGGGCCACACUUAGAAUUUUAGGCACGCGGACUUUAAAAGCACGACAUGAUUAAAAAUGGGUUAAGCAUGACAUAAUGAAAAAGGCCGCAAUAAGCAUGUUUUAUUUUUUUAAUGAAAGUAAACUUAAAAUUUUAUGAUUUUACAAAUAACUUGAAAUUGAUUUUUUUAAAUUUAUUUAAUUCUUAGUUAAAAAAUACUAUAAUUGAUUUAUAUUUUUAAUUUAUUAAAUAAAUAAUUGAUAUCAUGAUUUUAAUGAAUAAAAUUAUAAAUAUCAUGAUUUUAUAAAUAUGCAUUAAUAUUAUUGUGAAUUAUGAUCUAUGACUUUAUGGAAGUCCAAGUUAAUAUUUAAAUUAACCCUUAAGAAAAAUUUAUUAUUAUUGUUGUUGUUGUUAAGUAUUAAAAAAAUUAUAAUACUAUAACGUCAAACUUAGUAAUUGAUAUUACAUUCUCUUACUAUUAUUAAUUUAUUAUUAUUGAAUAUGGACUUGAGUUUUGAAUUUUGAUUUUAUUAAAUGUGAAUAAAGGUAUAAGCCUAAAAAAAUAUAUAUAGACUUGAAAAAAGUACGCUAAUAGUUUCGCAUACACUUUUAAAAAUUUUUUAAAAAAGAAAAAAAUCUUAUUGGGCUUUUCUUUUCAGGCACGGCAUGACACCAGCACGAGCAUGUAUAGACCUUACUUUGAUGGGCCGAGUUAGCAUGGUGCUGCCUAUUGGCCAUCUCUAGUGCUUCCUGAUAAUAGGAUAGGACUAGCGUAGAUAGCAGUGAUCCAUGACACGAAGUUGUUAUUCUUACAAACUUUGAAGUGAAUAAAUUGUCUAUGAUUGGUAACAAUUUCUAUAUUGAAAAAGUCCUUUCAUAGGAUCCAAAUCCCCUCAGAGAAACCAGUAGCUUCAACUCUAGGGGAUUUAUCAAAGCUAUUUCUUUUAAUGAAAUCAUCUGCUUUAUACCCACUGAUUCUAGGCUCUAGUAAAACAACCAUGACCGGCUCAUAAUUCUUGAUAAGAGAACCAAAAAAGCGACAGAAGACUAGCAAUGUCGCUCCAUAGACAUUCCAAAACAUAAUUGAUAAAGACAUCUAGAUAUGUACGAUAAAAGUACGAAACACCUUAUAAUUUCGGCCCUGAGGCCUUGAUCUCCAAGUCCAUAGGUGAUUCAUCCACAAGAGACAUAUCUCCAUCAGAAGAACCAGACUCAUCAUUAUCACUUUCUCUCAUAUAAUUGUUAUCCUUCCCAUCAUCAUCCAUGUCGCUAGUGAUAAUUAAGUGCCGGUAUUAGAGGGAUCAUCGGCUAGUUUAGAUGACUUAUCAUACUGCACACCAGUUAUAUUGUCCUUAGCUUGGCCACUGGAAGAGGAAGCAGCGGAAUUAUUAUUGGUAGAGGCAACAGUGGUGAAAGGGAUAGUAGAGUGGUAUAAAGGAUUGAGACUGGUUGGGACGAUAGUUGGUACAUGCUGGCUAGUCUGGUUUAAAUGGACGUUCGUUUUGCUAUGUAAGGUGUGUGGGAGUUGUACGAGAGUAGCAUCAAUAGCAUUCGGUUGGUUGGUAGUGUUGGGGCCAUGAAUAGAAAAAUCCGCACGUAUGACAAUGCUUAGGUUGGGGGUGGAAUUUUGGCUUUUUUUUUUUAAUGUUGAUUUCUAAGGACAAGUAGAAUAGUGGUAUUAUUGGAGGUUGGCACAUUACAAUUCAUGGUAAUUGGAUAUGACUUAUUAAUGCCAUGAUUUGGGUCCUCCUCAUUGACGCUGGCAAGAAUACCAAAUCGCGAUUCCUAGCCGAAAGAUCCCCAGUGACCACGCUCAGAAUCACGACCAAGCUCUCUUGCCUUGUCAAUAUGAGGUUUCCCUUUCCUGGAAACUACCAUCCAUGGCCCAAGUUUAGGGAUACUCUGGUUAUCAUCACUGGUUUUAUUGACCAUCUGCUUGCCGAAGAUGUUCACAUGUUGAUUUAGCUCCCCUGGGUUACCAUUUUCCUCCGUAUGAUUAGGGCAAGAUUCCUUAUUAUGGUCAUAUUUUUCACUCUGGAAACAAAUAUUAGGAAGACUUUCAUAUUCCACCUUCUGAGUUUUUCCAUCCAACAAAAACUAUAAAACAAGAGGUUUUUAAGAUCAAUUUCAACUGCAAAUACAAGCGAAAUUUCCUCUUAUUGCUGACUCGAUGUUAUAAUCAAUUCUGAUAACUGAUCCAAUUAUCUAGUUGAGCAUAUGAUGAAUUUUUUAUGAUAAUAAUGUAGAGCCAUGCACAACAGGCAGAUCCAAGCUAUAAUCGAAUCAGUUUCCUCCUUAGAACUAUCAAAGUGAGGAGUUCAUGGUUGCACCGUUAAAUAGCGGCCUAAAAUUGUCCAAGGACCAAGAGUCAAAGCAAACUCGGCAUCAUCGUUUGAUUUAAAGCGGACAACAUAAAAAUCAUUCUCAAGGUCAAUGAUAGAGAAACCAAAGGUCGAGCUCCAAGUUGCUUCCAAGCGAUUGCAGAGAGCUCAAUACCCUAUGUGACGUCACAAUAGCUUGACAACAACCGUAUGCUGCGAAAGCUUGAUAAGUUGGUCGUGAAGCUUUUGGGAGAAAGAGAUGGAGUGUAAAUUACCACAUCGUGUUCUUAAAAAAUCAAUUCAUCAUCAUGGCCAAUCAAAUCUGCUUCAACUUCCCUUUGUGAUUCCAUGAGUAUAUCCUUAAAAGAGAUAUGCUCAGGGUUGUCUCUAUCCUCACGUUGAGGCCUAAAUUUUGCUUCUUUGGUAGAUCGAUCAUCAUUUAUUGGUGAACUGAAGAUUUUUACUACUUGUAUCAUAGUUUUUCAAAAUAAAUGUACUCAUAUUAUAGCAUCAUUUUCUUAUUAUAUAAUCAAAAAUAGAAUCCAUUUAUUCAUUAUAUUAAGUUGUAAAUAUAUCUUUCUAUAUGUAUUCCUAAAUUACAGUAGACUUGGAUUGCAUAGCUUAAUUAUAGGGAUCCUAGCUUAACUAUAGGAACUGGUGGUCGUGUAUAGCAAGUCAGUCGUAUGUAUAUAUAUACUCAAUCAAAUGUCAAUAAAAUUAACUCUGCCCAUUCUACUUUUCGCUCAUAUUUACAUGCUAUCAGAGCAAGGACUCGCUGCACUUUAAUCUCUCGUGUAGCAUCUCUCUUUCAACCAUCAUAACCCUUGAGGAUAUUCCUAAAACCAGCCAUUCUGAUCCACAAAAAUCAGAGAUUUUUGCAGAUUCCUCCAAGGCAGAUCUCUCCAAUCCUUUUGCACUCACCAUUUGGAUAACCCUGGAUUGAUUCUCGUCUUCAAACCUCUAAAUGGGGAUAAUUACUUUGGUUGGAUAAGGGCUAUGGUUCGAGCUUUAAACUCCAAGAAUAAGCUCAGAUUUGUCAAUGGUUCUAUCAAAGUUCCUUCAGAAGAAGUUGAUCCUGAAGGCUAUGCGACUUGGUCGAGAUGCAACGAUAUAGUUCAUUCCUGGAUUGUCAAUUCUUGCGAUCCAGAAAUAGUUGACAGUGUGACUUUUUAUUUUACUGCUCAUUAGGUUUGGAAAGAUCUUUAUGAGCGUUUCUCUCAAGUCACAUCUUUGAGAUACAACGAGAUAUUGCUUUUCUUCGACAAGAGUAACUCUCUGUCUCUACUUAUUAUACUAAGUAAAAAAGUUUUUAGGAUGAAUUGGCAACACAUUCAGACAUAGCACAAGCCAAUCGACAGAAAUUGAUGCAGUUUCUAAUGGGUCUAAACAAAACUUAUAGUGCAAUUCGAAGUCAAAUCCUGCUCAUGAAUCAUUUGCCUUUUAUUCGCCAAGCCUACUCUUCAAUCUCCCAAGAGGAUAAACUGCGCCUCCUCAGUUCAACGCAUACAAGCACCAAUUCAAGUAGCAGAGCUGCCGCCAUGGCUGUACGCAGCAAGCUGAUUCCUUCGGCAACAAGAAAAACCGAACAAACUUGCUCUCAUGGGUUCCUAGAUUCUCGCGAUCGAACAUACUCUCAGGCGUAGGAAUUUGCAGGACCUCAAGAUGGAGAUCAACGUUGAUCUGGCUCUAGGAGAGGUAGGGAUUUGUGUGACCACUGUGGAAAUUUCAACCAUUGGAUCCAAAAAUGUUAUAAGUUGCAUGGAUACACACCGGGCCAUCUUAAAGCUAAAAUGAACUCAGGCCAAAAUUCAAAUCGGCAUAAAGGUAUUUCUAUGGCUGAUCAAGUUGGAGAGGUGUCAAACACAAAUGAAGGCUCACUUACAAUAUCUGAUGCUUAAUUCAAGCAAAAUGAACUCAGGCAUAAAGGUAUUUAUGUGGCUGAUCAAGUUAGAGAGGUGUCAAACACAAAUGAAGGCCAUCCUAAAGCUAAAAUGAACUCAGGCCAAAAUUUAAAUCGGCAUAAAGGUAUUUUUGUGGUUGAUCAAGUUGGAGAGGUGUCAAACACAAAUGAAGGCUCACUUACAACAUCUGAUGCUCAACUCAAGCAACUUUUGUCACCCCUGAAUAAUCAAAAUGAAGGUUCUCACUCUAAAGCAAAUGCGGUAACAAACCCAGGUUUGUCUAAGAUUGCUUCCCGAAAUUUGAUUAUUGAUAGCGGGGUGACAUAUCAUAUUACUUCAUCAUCUAAUUUAUUGCAUAAAGAUAACAACUGCUCGUUACCGCCCGUGUUGUUGCCUAGUGGAGAAAGAUCAAAUAAUGUUGCAAAAGGGUUUUUACCUCUCAAUUACGUCUAUUAUCUGCAUGAUGUGUUAUCUGUGUGUACAUUUAAGGUUGAUUUGAUGUCAGUUAAUCGUUUGACAAUAGGUUUGAGUUGUUCAGUGACGUUUUUCCCAUUUUGCAGGAUCUAGCUAUGAGGAGUACAAUUGGUUUAGGUAAACAACGAGAUGGGCUAUAUUUUUUAGUGGCAUUAGCGACAAAGCAAUCUGUGACAAAACCUUCCUCAUCAAACAAUCGACCAGUCUGCAAUCUCACCAUCUCAUCCACUGACCUCUGGCAUAAUCGCUUAGGCCAUAUAUCAUAUUCUCGUUUAAGCUUUAUUGCCAAGAACUUUUUGAAUUUUUCUGUUGAGUCUAAUAAUGCAUGCCUCAUAUGUUCGUUGGCUAAGUAAAGUCGUUUUCCUUUCAAUAACAGUGUUAUUUCUUCUACAAAACCUUUUGAAAUGAUUCAUUGUGAUAUUUGGAGUCGUUAUCGACACAUUUCCAUUACCGGAGCUUAUUAUUUCCUCACUAUUGUUGAUUAUUAUAGUCGUUCCACAUGGAUUUUUUGGAUGCGACACAAAAACGAAGCACAAUGUCUUUUAAAAAGCUUCUUCAACUAUGUUUCCACUCAAUUUAACUGUUGUAUUAAAACAUUUUGAAGUGACAAUGGUAGAGAAUUUAUCUCACUUAGAUCUUUCUUUCAAGAUCAUGGUGUUGUUUUCCAAACUUCAUGCGUUUACACGCCUCAACAAAACAGGGUUGUAGAACGCAAACAUUGCCAUAUCUUACAAGUAGCUCGAGCAUUAAAAUUCCAAGCACAACUACCAACCCAAUUUUGAGGCAAAUGUGUACUCACUGCUGUACACAUCAUUAAUAGGUUACUUUCACCUGUUAUUUCCUUCAAAACUCCUUACAAACUUCUCUAUUCAAAAUUGUCUUCCUUUUUCCCAUCUUCGUGUUUUUGGGUGUUUGGCCUAUGCCACUAAUGUUCACACUUCUCACAAAUUCGACUCUCGUGCUAUACCAUCUAUCUUCAUCAGUUAUCCCAUCGCUCCAAAGGGCUACAAAUUAUUUAAUUCAUCAACUAAAUAGAUUUUUACAAGCCGGAAUGUAAAAUUCCACGAAACCAUUUUUCCUUACUCAUCCGUCCAACCCAAAUUUUCUCUUCCCCUGACAGCCCAUCAAUCAAGCCCAAUUCAUUUAAUUACUUCCUCCAUCGACUCAUCAUUUCACUCUAACGUAAUUCCACCAAGCCUCAUUCCCUUAUCCCACCUCUCUCUCAAUUCUCCCAAUCAAAUUUUCUCUCCUCCUCCCACGGUAGCACCGCCGUCUUCCCCUUCCUAGGCCAUCCUUCGUACUUAUUUUCGUCGUCCUAAAUUUGUUGCCCCAUUAGUCUCAAAUGACCCACCUUUUUAAUUCCAAGUUCGACCAAAGGUACAUGAUAUCCACUGGCUAAUUAUAUUUCAUAUCACUGAUAUAAGCUUGCUUAUCAGUCCUUUAUUGUUCAAAUCAGUAAUCUCACUGAACUCAUGUCUUAUUUAGAAACUGUCGUUCUCCCUGAGUGGCAAGCGACCAUGCAUUCCAAAUUGCAGGAACUGCAAGAAAAUAGUACUUGGUCUUUUACCCCUCUUUUGGCUGGUAAAACUCCAAUUGGCUGUUGUUAGGUUUACAAGAUAAAAACAUAAGUUUGAUGGAUCCAUUAAACGGUAUAAGGUGCGGCUUAUAGCCAAGGGUUUCACUCAAUUGGAAGGAGUUAACUACCAGGAUACUUUUUCUGCGACAACGAAAAUAAUUUAUGUUCAUUGGUUGUUGGUGUUAGCUGCUACCCGUGGUUAGUCUCUUCAUCAACUCGACGUCAAUAAUGCCUUUCUUUAUAGUGACCUCCUAGAAGAAAUUUACAUGUCUCUCCCGCCAAGGCUUCGGCGACAGUGGGAGGAACACUUGGUUUGUCACCUCCACAAGUCAUUAUAUAGGUUUAAACAUGCAUUUUGUCAAUGGUUUCUUAAAUUCUCUGAGGCCAUACGUUCAGUCGGAUAUGUACAAUCAAAAGCUGACUACUCUCUGUUCACUAAGAAGCAAGGCAAGUCCUUUAGUGCCCUUUUGAUAUAUGUUGACGACAUUUUAAUCACUGAAAAUGAUCCUAUAAGUAUAAUCGAUAUCAAAAAAUUCAUGCAUAAUCAAUUUCACUUUAAAGAUCUAGGAGACUUGAAGUAUUUCCUUGGUAUUGAGAUUUCUGCAUCUAGGAAAGGUAUUUUUAUUUCUUAGAGAAAGUAUGCGUUGGAAAUUAUAAAGGAUGCAGGGUUAUUAGGGGCAACUCCCAUUGAUACUCCCAUGGAAUGUGGCUUAAAAUUGUUUGAUAAAAGUGAGCCACUCAAAGACCCAAGGCGAUAUAGGCGAUUAGUUGGAAGAUUAAUAUAUCUCACAGUUUUGAGGCCGGAUAUCAUGUACUCUGUCUAUAUAUUGAGCAGAUUUAUGCACCAACCCCGGAAGGAUCAUUGGGAGGUAGCCAUACGGGUUGUACGCUAUUUAAAAUCUGCUCCUGGCCAAGGCCUUUUCUUCUCCUCAAUUAGUGAUCUUUGGUUGCGAGCAUAUUGUGACUCGGACUGGGCAGGAUGCCCCCUUACAAGAAGAUCUACUACAUGGUAUUGUGUGUUCUUGGGCCCUUCGUUGAUUUUGUGGAGAUCGAAGCGACAGAAAACCGUCUCCCUUUCCUCAGCCGAAGCAUAGUAUCGUGCGAUGACUGGAUCUUUUUGUAAAUUAACAUGGCUUCAUUACUUAAUUAGAGAUUUGGGGAUUUUACAUCAAGAGGCUACAUUGCUAUAUUGUGACAAAAGGUUGCAUUACAUAUAGCAACUAAUCCAAUUUUUCAUGAGUGCACAAAGCACAUAGAGAUGGAUUGCCAUUAUACAAGAGACAAGAUACAAGAUGGUUGUGUGAUAACGAGAUUUGUGAGUUCCGCGAAUUAGCUUGCCGAUGUGCUGACCAAAGCUUUGGGAAAAGAAGUUUUCAUGCCUAUGGUUCUCAAGUUGGGAGUGCCAGACAUUCACUCUCCAACUUGAGGGAGAGUAUUGGAAAGUAGAAUCUAUUUAUUCAUUAUAGUGAGCUGUAAAUAUAUCCUUCUAUAUGUAUUCCUAAAUUACAGUAGACUUUGAUUGCAUAGCUUAAUUAUAAGGAUCCUAUCUUAACUAUAGGAACUGAUUGUCGUGUUUAGCAAGUCAGUCGUAUGUGUAUAUAUACUCAAUCAAAUGUCAAUAAAAUUAAUUCUGCCCAUUUUACUUUUCUCUCAUAUUUGCAUUAUAUAGUUGAUAUAAUACUUUUGAUAUAUUUUAAAAUUUCUCUAGCCUAGCUUUUGGCAUAACUUCAAGGAUAGAUUUGUGAAUUUAGAAAGAGAAUUAGAAAGGGGUUUCUUCUUGUAAAUUGUUCUUUCUAAAGUUUUUAACAAUAAAGAAAUAAACAUAUUUUUAGUUGGAAUUAAGCAACUAGGAGGUUGAACGAUCAAAAUCUGUGUGUACUCAUCUUUUUAUUUUGAUCUGUUUCUUUUAUUAUUCUUGCUUCGAUUCUUGUGAGCGUCAUCUUGAUCCUGGGGUGUUUAAUUUGUAUUGUAAAUAUAGAUUCAAACCCAACACCAAAGAGAAAGGCCCUUUUUUUAUUUUGGGUUGUUAUUCCCUGCUUUGUUUAUAAUCAAAACAAUAAGUCCUUUUGAUGCUUCAAACACUAGGCCAAGUUCUAUUAACUGUAGUGCUGCUGGGUGACCGAGGCUUCCUAGACAAACAUAGACUAGAGAAUCGACAUCUUGUAAAUCAUGCCACUAUAAACAUUUCGUCCUGUGCACCAAAUUUUAUCCCCUCAUACGUUUCAAAAUUUUUUUGACAUAGGCUUUUCCAAUUCCUCAAAUGUUUUCACCUAACCCUAAUGUCUUUCUGAAAUUCUUUCGUAUCUCUAAUGAUCCCACAUUGACAACACUAGGUAGCUGAGCUAGAUGUGGGCAUUAACAUAAAGUGGCCUUGUGCCAGACGUAAGAGCAAGACAAAUCGAUGCAGAAGGUUUACAGAGGCCAUGUGGAAGAGAGUUUAGUUUCUGCAAAGGUGAAGCUAAUAUGUCUUUGAGAAUUUCAGGUUGAGUGUCUAUCUUUUGUUACGUAUGACGUCAUGAGGAAAAGUUCCUUAUAACUCAGACUAAUUGUCCUUUAUUUUUUCUUCGUUGGUCUACAGCUCUAAAUUGCUUGAUACAAGUAUGACUGAAGCGCUGUUGAUAACUUAUUUUGCAGAACAUAAUAUAUUGAAUAAUCUUUGGUUUAAUGCAAAAUAAUUAGUUUUCUAUCAUACUGCUUAAGCUGGACGACUAUUUUAGAACAUAUGAAAUAAAUUACAUGUUAUAUUUUGCCAUUACAUGAUAGUUAAAGGAAUUUCCUUUAAAAAAAUUCAAGUACAUGGUAGAAUAUUAAGUCAUUCUUUGUAUUAUUAUUAAGGGAAAUUAUCCACUGUCUACCCUUUUUUUACUGUUUUUAAAAAAUACAUAAAUCUUUUUUUUCCAGCACUCCACCUGAAGUUAACAUUUUUUUCAUUAGUCCACACUCGUUAUAAUACCGUUAGAACUUUGUUGACAUCAUAAGGGUAAAAUUGUCAUUUUAUAACGACAAAGUAUUGGAAAGGUGCAAAACAAUAUAACUUCAAGUGGAGUUUAGCAAAAAAAAUAUUAAGUAUUGUGUAUUUUUGAAAAAAUACGAAAAAAAUAUGGUUGGUGGAUAAUUUAUCUUUUACAUUUAAGGGUUAAAAAGUCAUUUAUACAAUAUUUCGUUAGUUUUCUUAACGGUCUCCAAACGGAAGUGGAAAAGUGAAAAAAAAUGUAAGUUCAGAUGGAUUCCAGAAAAAAGUUGGAAAAAAUAGGUGGACGAUGGAUAAUUUCCCUAUUAUUAAUCUAGCGCUAGACAUGGUAGAAUAUUAAGUACAUUCGACAAAACACUUAUUAAUAAAAUUAUAUCAUAAGUUAAUAUUUGCAGUAUGAGAAUUAUUAUAAAUCAAGUAUUUAAUUGUCAAUAACAAUUUAUCCACCAUUGUAAUUACAAUUAAAAUGAUAAUUACAAUCACAAUUAAAAUAAUGUUUACAAUUACAAUUAUGAUAACAAUUACAACUGCAAUUGUAAUUCGUAAUUAUAAUUAUAACAUUAUAUACAAACUGCAACUGUAAUAAUUAUUGUAAUUGUAAUUGUAAUUACGAAUACAAUUGUCAAUGUAAUUCCAAUUCCAAUUACAAUAGUUGUAAUUGUAAUAAUCUUUAUAAUUAUUAUUUUAUUUGUAAUUGUCAUUGUAAGAGUUGUCGUAAUUAAAAAUGUAAUUAGUGAGUGUCAACUAGUUUAGAUAUUAAAAUCUUUUGUAUUGGAAUUUGGAAAUAAAAGGCCUGAGUUCAAACCGUGCUAACAUGGGGUGAGAGGGGAUUGGUUUGUCAUUAGUUGAGAUGUAAAAUCUCUUGUGUUGAAAAUAACAGGAUUGGAGGUUUGAAUUUCGUUCACAUGAAUGGAGAGGAGAUUGGAUUGUCAUUAGGCUAAACAAUUAAAAAAAAAAUUGUAACUAAAAUUAUUGUUGUUGAUGUCAAAAUUUGGAUUAGUCAGUUACUGACUGGAUACCAAAUCUCUGUGUCAGCAUUAUAUUUAUUUGUUUGGGAAGUGGCUUAUGAUCACUAGCAGAUAACUCGUAAACACUUGAAAUCACAAAGAAUGGUAAGAGGCGGUAGAAGUUUUUCUAGCGUGAACCCUCUGACACCUAAGUCAGUUAUCAGGUUUGCAAGAAAGAUAAAAUAUGUAAUUUCUAGUUUUUUAUGAAUAAAUAAUCUUAAGUAAAUGGAAUAGAAAAAUCAAAACUGAGAAAGAAAAUUGAACCUCCUCUUCGUUUGGAUUUUUUUGGACUUCUAUAAGCAUAUGGAAUUAUUGCACCAUCUUUAAUGCGUUGGCGUUACUAGGUUGAAUGUGUCGCUUAAAUCAUGAGUUACUACGAGCGUUACAAAGUAAUUAUUGAGCUGCAAUUAUAGUAGCUAGGCGUGCGUGGACAUUAUGCCUAACUUUUCGAAAGGAACCCGUCACUAAAACUUAAUUGGAAUCUUUGGACUGACCAGAUUCUGGUCUCCUCAAACCCAUCUGCUCGAGGUUACUAGAUUACCUCUUGGUGGAGAAGGUCUGCUCAAGGUCACUAGAAUCACCCCUCAGUCGAGGCGGUCUGCUUAUGGUAUUAAGAAUUACCUCCUGGUCAAGGUGGUCUGUUUGAGAUCAUCAAGGUUACCAUCUGGUCAAUGUAAUCUGCUCGAUGUUACUAAAUAAUAUCAUGGUUGAGAUCAUCAAAAUUACCACCUGAUUGAGGUUGUCUGCUCGAGGUCACCAGAAUUUUCUCCUAGUAGUCUAUCAACUAUUUGCUCACUCUUUACCUCGUUGAGAUCAUGAUCACUCUAUUUUAUUCCCCAAACAAUUGUUGUUGUAAUUAAAUUAUUAUUUGCUACAAAAUGACUAUUAGGAAGUGAUAUAAGGUAGCUCACAUUGUAAGAAAAAAUAAACCAGAUAGAUUCCCGAGAAAUAUUAGAGGGUUACAAAUGGUCCUACUUAAAAUUUAGAUUCUUUAAACAAUGUAUGAUACUAUGAUGAAGUAUUGUGAAGCUGCUUAACCAAAUCUUUUAACCAACACUCUCCAAGAUCCUCGAUUAGAAUCAACAAGAUGCUUAAGAGAUGAUAUGAAUUGCUAAUAAAGAAUCUAUGUAUGAACAAGAUGGUGACUAAUUCAAAAACGAUCAAAGAAUUAGCCAACAAAUCAAAGAAUCAUAAAACAAAGCUAUUAACGUGGUUCAGUCAAUUUGCAUUGACCUACAUCCAUGAGGGACCAAGAACGCCUCUCUCAAACAAGCUAUCUCUCUCUCUAUCUCUCACACCGGAAUUAGUCGUAUAAAUAGUUUUAACGAACCCAUAAACUUUUCCAGAAACGCAUGUGUUUACCACGUGAAUUAACGGCGUCAUAACAACUUUUGCAAAUCACGUGCGUUGCACAAGCUUCAUUAAACUAAAAACGGCAAAGCUUCUGGUCGUUUAAGCUAGCAAACUUAAUGCACAUCAAAACAUAGAUCUUGCAUGUCGUUUUGCCUUCGUCAUGGACAUACCAAAAACGCAAAUCACCUCUGUCGUUUUGAUCUCUUUAAUUUGCUUCAUGGAUAUAUGACCUUUAUGAUAAAACCUUUGUAAACUAUCUGAGCUUACUAAUUGAUAUAGCAUAUAUUAUUAAUUAUAAAUUACAAUACUAUGUGAUAAUAAAUAUAAAAACAUAAAUAUGAGGCUUGGAAAGGUACAAUGUUUUUAAAAAAGAUUCACUACCUUUUCAACAAUACUUAGGUUAUAUUGGUGUCUGAUUGCCUAUCUUCUAGGAUGAUUGAAUUUAGAUCAUCUCAAUAUUACAAUUUUACAAUUUUAGCGAACUUCAAAUAAGUAUUCCAUUAAGUGUUUGAAUUUUAUCACAAGCGCUAGAGAGAAUUUGUUUUAGAGGGAGGAGGAAAAAUCACUUUGACUAAAGCAUUACAGAAAUGAGGUCUCUCCAGAGAUUUAUAAGAGAUGGGGUUUCCUCCAGAGCCCGCAAUAAGCGCCUAUGACACUUCCGGUUCCAUCAGAAACUCUUCUAAGCCCGCAAUUGGGAUGUUCAUCAUGUCGAUGUUGUCUUUCAAAGACAGAGAGGCUGCUGCUGCCGACGUACUAUUAAUUAUUUAUAUGUUGCUGAAUAAUAAAAUUACUACUAGUGCUGAAGAGAAACCAACAAAGACAAAAUGGUUGGCUUGUGGUCAUGAUCAAUGGAUUAAAUGAUUUCUUUCUUAAUCCUAUAUUCCUAUGUAUGUAUGGGUCGUCAGUUUCUGUAGAAGUACUAAAAAAAUAACUUGCGUUAGAAAAAAAUAAAUAAAUAAAGAGAUAACUAAUGGAUAAUAAAUGAAUGGCUUAAAACUGUUUUUGUCCUUCAAUUGACUAGGAUCAUAGACUUCAUUUUCGGUCAAUAACCCUUAUUAAUAGUAUGGUGAGAAAUUUUAAAAUAUCUUUGAAGUAUCACGUCAGUUAUAUAUAUAAUAAGUAAAUAAUAUUAUAAUAUAUAUAUUUAUUUUUAAAAAAUUAAUAUAUAAUUAUUAAUUAUAUAAAUAUUAUAAUAAUAAUAAUAAUAAUAUUAAUAUUAAUAUUACCUCAAAUAUAUUCUAAAAAAUACAAAUUAACUGCCGACCCAUACGAUCAAUCAAGUUGUAACUAGUUAGCUACAUAGCUAGUGACAUAUGGUGGACCUCUCGAUUGUCGCUGUGAUUGCCAUGAUCAGCACAAUUCACGCAUAAUGUUGUGGUGGGACAUAAUAACUGACUUGCUCAAGUCGUCGCGGGUGGCAGCGUUCAACUUUUCAAAGUCUUGUGCAGAAAACAUACGAAAGCAUUUGUUUGCAAUAGAACCGCGCGGCUUUGAAAAAAUAAUUUAAUAUUAUUUUUUUAUUUAUUUUUUUUUUAACGAUUAUUCUAUUUGAUUAAGAGGAAAUACUUAAAAAAAUGAAAAAAUAAAGUAAAGUUAAAACCAAAAAUACUUUUUUAAUUAUUUAAAAUUACAUUAGCUAAAUUAACACCACAUAAAUAAAAGUGCCAUAGAUGCACCUUAUCUAAGCCAAAACUUAAAAAUCUAAGGCUGAUAUAUCAUUGCGAGGCCACUUGGAGAAGGAGCAGAAGAUGCAUCACAGUAGCCUCUCAGUAUGUUCCCUUCUUCGACAGUGAAUCCGAGAGAGGUGAGCAUUGCAAGCCAGUAAUUACGGGUGAUAAUAUCAAUAGUGUGGCAACAGUCAGGGCUAAUAUCAGCCUGGACAUUAAGGAAUAAUAUAAUAAUCUCAUUUGAGCAUGAUUUCAGCUCCAUUAACGCGUUCUAGUACUUCGUUAGGCCUCCGCUAGCUUCAAGUCUUGUUGCAAGAUCGUAGUCUGAUUUCAUAUUGUUGUUGAGGCGAUCAUUCCUACUGGUUGCAUUUGCAAUAUUUGUCAUGAUGAGGCAAGUGAAGGCCAAAAUGAAAAACACAUGUUUUAGAGCCAUUGUUAUUUUCUGUUCUUUUAUGUUGUGUUUAUAUUUAUGUAGGAUAUCAUAUUUUUUGUUGCUAUUUAUAAAUUAAGGUGAGGCAGAUGAGAAGAGUGAUUAAAUUAUUGCUUAAUUUAUAAUCAAGAAGGUUUCAAUUAAAGAAGAUAGUAAGUUUUUUGAUGAAUUGUUACGUAUUGAUUGUGUAAUAACAGUCAAAUUAAUUAUGAGAAGAUGAAAAAUCAAAUUUGAAAGAAAAUUUCUCUAUUUAUUAGAUAAUAAAUAAUAUACAAAGAUGAUAAAUGGUGAUGCCACAUCACCUCUUGUAGUCCAAACUUUAUAUAAAUAUAUAGAUUAUACUAUAAGCUUUCCAAUUCGACUAGAAUUGCUUAGCAAGCCUGUUUUAAAAAGUUCAAUUUUAAGUCACCGGCAAAAUAAUUUUGUAACGAUUUCCAAUUUUGUUCUUAUCUUCAUUUCGGGACCGCCUAAGUUACAAUUAAUGUAACUUACAGCCAGCCUGUAAAAAUUCACCAAGCCCCCUAUACUUUAUGUUAUUUAUAAUUUACUCGUAAGUAUUAUAAAAUUUUUUGUAUUGUAAUAUUUCGUUUAACCCCUUACACUUAAUUUUAUUUUAUUAAAACCCAAGAGUAGAAUUCGCCCCCUAUAAUUUUAAAUUUCCAAAAUAACCUCCACUUAAUUAAAAAACAUAAUUAUUAUCAAAUGAAUUAUAAUUAUAACUAUUAUUCUAUUAUAAUCAUAAAUAUAAUUAUAUUUUUAAAUAUAUUAUUAUUGUUAUUAUUAAUAACAAGAAUAAAAAGUAUUAUAAUUAAUUAAUCUAUUAACAAUAAUUAAUAAUAAUUUUUUUGUAAAAUUUUUAAUAAUAAUAAUUAACGAUAAUUAUUAAUAAUAAUUAAUUUUUGAAUAAUAAUAACAAUAAAAAUAAUAAAAAUAUAAAAUAAUAAUUAUGAUAAAAAUUAAUGAAUGGUUUUAUAGCAAUUGGUUAUAAUUUAACUCAUUUUGAUUUUGAUUCUAAGGCAAAGUAAACAAUAAAUGGUAAUAAAGCUCAUUUUAAUUACGAUUCCUGCAGUUCAAGUAAAUAAAUUAUUCAAUUAGAUCACUCUAUAUUAUUUACAAUUUAUUCAUAAGUAUUAUGAAUUUUAUAGUGCAUUCACUAAACAUGAAUCAAAUUUAGCCGGAAACAAAAUGAAUUACAAUCAGAAAAGUUAGAAUCAAAAUGACUUUAAUUAUUGUUAUUAUCAUUCAAAAAUUAAUUAUUAAUAAUAAUUAUCGUUAAUUAUUAUUAUUAUUAACAAUUUAACAAAAAAAUAUUAUUAAUUAUUGUUAAUAGAUUAAUUAAUUAUAAUACUUUUUAUUCUUGUUAAUUAUAAUAAUUUAUUUAAAAAAUAUAAUUAUAUUUAUGAUUAUAAUAAAAUAAUAGUUAUUAAUUAAAUGGAAGUUAUUUUAGAAAUUUAAAAUUAUAGGGGAUAAAUUCGUACUUUAGGAUCUCAAUAAAAUAAAAUUGAGUAUAAGAGGCUAAAAAAAAUUUUAUAAUUCAGAAAGUUUUAUAAUACUUAUGAAUAAGAUAUAAAUAAUAUAUAAGGGGCGGGAUGAAACUUUACAAACUGGCCGUAACUGUAACUUAGGCGGACCCCUUCAUUGAUUGUACUUUGAAUGGAAAUUCUUUCACACGUUCUCGCCUUUAUUGUUUGUUUUGUCUCCAUCCAUGGAAUUUCCUCCUUGGAAAUGAAUGAUAACCAAUAUCCGGUGGCCCUUCAGAUUUACAAAGACUUGCAUAUGCAAUUGCGACGAAUUAAUUAAUCGUUAUAUCUUUUUUUUUUUUUUUCAAUUUUAAUUAAGUGGUUUCAUCACACAGUAUUUAACUCAAUUGAAGAUUCUUCAAUGGCCUAAAAUGAUUAUAUUUGUUUUUAAAACAAUAAUUUGGGUUGUACCUAAUUAUGAUCUAGAUGAUUGUUGUAGAAUCAGACAGAAAAUCUCUCAUCAUGAUUAAUUCUCUCCAAUGAAAAAAAUUUAAAGAAUAUACAAUUUAAAGUAAAACCCAACUAGAUAUCGAGAGACAAAUUAAUUUAAACAAUUAUAUGUAUUCAGCUCGUCACAAAAUUGAUUAAUUAAAACUAUCCUGUAAUGUAUGGAAUAUGGUCACUUUUGGUAUGCAACUCCCUCAGUAGGAUGCAUAACUGUUUAAUAGGUUAUUUUGUUAAUGGAUGAUAAGGUCUGUACCAUAACAGAUCUAUCGAUUAUAUAUAUAUAUUAUUAGUGCUUUUUCAUUGAUAAAAAGCUUAAGAAUAUUAUAACAAAGAAUUAAACUCAGAUACAUUCUGAAUUCAAUUCAAUUACAAAUAAGAUGCAAGAAAAGGAAAAUCUAAGGUAGCACUUAAGGAGGCUAAUAUGAUUUAGCAAUAUCUGAUCAUCAUGUAUCAUCUCCCUUUCGGAUUCAGGAUCUCAGAGAACACAGCUCCAGUAUACUUAUCAGAACUUCCAGUAGAAAGACUUUGAUCAUCAGUAGCAGUAGUAGUUGAUAUGGUAACCGCACUAAUGGUUUUUGAAUCUGAAAGUACAUGUUUUCCAACACUAGAGAACACGGAACCACUACCAUCGGUUUCGUAGUUGUCCAAAAUUUUUUCUUCCUCCUCAUUCUCAUCAAUCUCCUUUGCAAUUGCAAUACUACUUUCCUGCAGCUGCAAUGCGAACUCAAGUCCCCAAACCACAUCGCUCAUCGAGGGCCGUCUGAUUCCUUCGUCAUUCAAGCUGCUCAUCGCUACCUCAGCAAAUUUGUUCAAGCACUCUGGCUUUAUCUUACCCUUCAAGAAUGGAUCAACAAUCUGAUCAAUUGUUCCAUUUUGAAAACAUUGUUGUGCCCAAACAGCUAAACUCACUUGUUUCUUAUCUGCUGUCCGCAGAAUAGGUGGCCGAGCACACAAUACUUCGAACAACACAACACCGAAUGAGUAGACGUCAGAUUUCUCAGUAAGCUGCUGAAGUCGGUAGUACUCAGGAUCUAAGUAUCCGACGCUGCCCUUAACAACUGUACUCACAUGAGUUUUGGACACCGAAGUUGAUCCAAAUUUGGAGAGUCCGAAGUCGGAAACCUUGGCCACCCAUUUCUCGUCCAACAAGAUGUUGGUUGUCUUCACAUCACGAUGAAUGAUAACAGCAUGGUUUGCCCCAGUAUGCAAAUAGUGAAGCCCACGAGCUGCACCAAUGCAGAUUUCAAGCCUUUGAUUCCAUGGAAGAGGGGGACUGUCGCUAUGGUAGAGAUGAUCACGUAGGGUCCCACGAGCCAUGAAAUCGUAUACAAGGAUCAUCUCCCUGUCAUCGUUGCAAAAGCCUAUCAGAGGGACUAAAUGAAGAUGCCGGAGCUGCGAGAGCAUUCCUAUCUCAGUUUGGAAUUCCAGGGCACCCUGUUGCGACUCUGGUUCCAGUCGUUUAAUGGCAACAGGGGUAGUGCUGCCAUUGAUGAAGCCUUUGUAGACAUUACCAAACCCUCCAACUCCAAUUACGAGAUCAUUGUCGAAGUUGUUUGUACCCGCUUGGAUUUCAGAUAGUGAAAAUUGGGUGCAAAGAUCGGAAGGAAGGAAUGAGCCGCGUGAUGACUUGGUUGCCUUGAUAGUCUUAGAAGAAAUAAAAGUCCCCAAAAGUGAAGUACCUGUACCGGAACCCGAGUCCUUGACUUUUCUUCCUCGCCAGAAAAUUAACAACAAUAGAAGAGAUAGCACACCAAAGCCUGAUAUAACACCAGCAACCAUCCCGGCUACAUUAUUCUUCUUAGUCGGUUCUAUUGUUGGAGACGCAUCCAAAUUAGGUGGGAUCGUCCGAGGCUCAGGAUUAGGUCCAGCGAGAUUUCCAGUGUUGUCCACUUUAAAGAUUUCAAGGCCGUUCAAGAUAGCAUCAGAGUAUUUGGUCCUCCAUCUGGGGGCAGGGUGCAGUUGAAUAGAAAGAUUCUGCUUAAUAUUUUCUUCAUUUGGUUUUGGUCCUAUCGUCACAGCAUAAUCUCUAUAUACGGCAACACCAUUCGCACCAGUCCAGGCUAUCACAUCUGCUUGAACUUCAGCAGUUAAAUUAGCAAUGAAGAUCUGGAACACCCUAUCGCCCUCUUCAGUUACCUCUAUCUGAAACUCACAAAAAUGAAGCCUCAGAAAAUAUGUAAAGCCCGAAUCCACUUCGAACUCCCAAGUGAGAUUAUACUUCUCGUUGAUUUCCCUAUCCUGCCCCAUCGUCCUGGCGGUUUUGUAGACCAGAUCUGGAGCAGAGUAAUUACGUAUCCAAGUGAGAUGAAUACUCUGGUUAACGGGAAGAGCACUUGGUCUGGCAUCUGUCAAGUAGGGGUCGUCCAUUUCCCAAGUUCGGUACAUGCCGCCGGUGUCGUCUGACGGUGAUAUUUGUUUCCCGCCGACGUUUAUCCGGUAUAAAGUCGCCAGAGCAUUUAUGUUUAAGAUACUGUAUGGGUUGUCCUGGCCAACAAACCUGAACCCCCCGCCGGGAUCAUCGGCCGCGGUGUAAUAGAAAUUGAGGGGCAUGGAUAAAAUCUCAAUUCCAUUGAUAAAAGCAUAUGAAUCGUUGUAAUCCGGACUUGGAGUGAAGGUUAUGUUCAAUAGCCUCUGAUCGUCUUCGAUGUUAAUGCAGAAUUCUUUGAAAAAGGGACUGCGGUCGUUGCCAUAUGCUGCAAGUGAAGCGCUAAAGUUUCUUAACAGAGUGAAAGAAGCUGCUUUUACAGAGAAGAAAGCUGC
Molecule: long non-coding RNA, 27118 nt
Filed under: Citrus maxima (pomelo)
Lineage: Eukaryota; Viridiplantae; Streptophyta; Magnoliopsida; Sapindales; Rutaceae
Description: long non-coding RNA (CMAX_LNC002302)
Source: RNAcentral